CCUUCUUUUCCUCGCUUUUUUCGGAAUUACUGGGCGUAAAGCGCGUGUAGGCGGCCAAGUGUGUCGGAUGUGAAAUCCCGCAGCUCAACUGUGGAAGUGCAUUCGAAACUGCUUGGCUGGAGUUUCGGAGAGGAAGGCGGAAUGCUUGGUGUAGAGGUGAAAUUCGUAGAUAUCAAGCAGAACACCUGUGGCGAAGGCGGCCUUCUGGACGAUGACUGACGCUGAGACGCGAAAGCGUGGGGAGCAAACAGGA
Molecule: ribosomal RNA, 253 nt
Filed under: uncultured prokaryote
Description: partial 16S ribosomal RNA
Rfam family: Bacterial small subunit ribosomal RNA
Source: RNAcentral